Non-coding RNA from Homo sapiens (human), 148 nucleotides. It matches the Rfam family "Metazoan signal recognition particle RNA". From Rfam's summary of the family: The signal recognition particle (SRP) is a universally conserved ribonucleoprotein. The record is from Rfam. NCBI's taxonomy places the organism in Eukaryota, Metazoa, Chordata, Mammalia, Primates, Hominidae.
GCUGGGCAUGGUGGCCCACGCCUGCAAUCCCAGCUACUCAGGAGGCUGAGGCAGGAGAAUCACUUGAACCCAGGAGGCGGAGGUUGCAGUGAGCUGAGAUCAAGCCACCGCAUUCCAACCUGGGUGACAGAGUGAGAACCUGUCUCAA